This 1273-nucleotide long non-coding RNA is filed under the name Triticum aestivum (bread wheat). Its description in RNAcentral is "long non-coding RNA (TAES_LNC007906)". Lineage: Eukaryota; Viridiplantae; Streptophyta; Magnoliopsida; Poales; Poaceae. The record is from RNAcentral.
UACAUUUCUUAAUUUUCCAUAGGACCUCUCCAUCCUCGAGCCCUUCUUCUCCUCUCUCCGCGCCGUCUCGCCUCCCCUGCUCUCGCAGCGCCACCUUCCCUGCCCGGCGCUCGAGGUGCAGCAGUAGGCGCGCCAUGAUUUUGGAUCGGGCGGAUAUCUUCGCCAGGAGAGUAGGAGCACUUGCUGUUAAUAUGAACGAUCUCUCACUAAGUUUUUGUUAUGACGUUGUGUGCCGAUUCAUGAUUUAAACACGCAAAAUGUUUGGUUUGCAUAUUUGUGCCUAGCCCUGUUACCAGCAGUGUAUUUUUUGCUGUAAGAAAGACAGCAGUGCUUUAUUUCUUUGACUUUUUGAUCGUGUCUAAUUUCUGGUAAAAGAGAGGAAUUUGAGAGAGAUAGACAACCUGAAGAGCUUUGAAUGGUUGUUCGAGUGUGCCGCCGGCCUCCUCGCUGCUGUUGUUUGCGUAGCUGGCACGGUGUGUGGCUACUGCCGAGAUAAGCGCAGUUUACUCCAGGUUUGGUGAUGGUGUUGAACAACACCUUAACUGGGCCAAGGAAUUUAGUAGCAUUGCGGGAUCAUAAACCAGUUUUUCUGUUCUCUGUGCUCACAUAGUAAGAACAUGCUUGCAAGUUCUUUUCCCUAGGUGUAAUUUCUUUUGCUGAGAUAGAUUAAGCCUGGGUCGAGGUGGCUGCUGUGUGCCGGUUGCCAGUACUUGUUUGUUGUAAUGUCUUACCCAGUGAGAUUUCUUUUCUUCUUGCCUAUUUUCAGAGGUUCUGCUUGAAGAUUCUCUAAUCACUUUCUUUGGAUUUUUUUUUCCUGAGAUAUGCUUUCAGGUUACUUCAAUGUUACCAGACUUAAAAUGUACUAUCUAGCAUACUAGCACGUGUGUAUAUGAUGCCUCUUUUUAUCCUUGAAUGUAAGACACAUGGUGUUUUGUUCCAUUGUUAUGCUUAACGGAAGUGAUGUUCUGUUAUCAUAUUCAAAACUAUAGCUCUUUGUUUGCAGUAUCUCGAAGGGAGCAAUAUUUUGAUACUUGCUUUAUAGGAAUUCUCUUUCUUUGCCUAGAAUUUGUGAUUUAUGACUGAUGUCAAUUCCACCUUUGUAGGUGCUUCUCAAUUAUUACUAAUUUUGAAACUGCAGAGGAGCAGGAGAUGAGGAGGGCGCCACUUGGUGUACAAUGGUGCAUGAUGCGGCAGUUAGACCGGGAGAUGAGGAGCGCGGCACUGGGUGUACGAAGGAUUAGUAGGAAGAAUGUUAAUCACAGUGGGUGAAAAG